UAAGGAGUCAAAUGACUCAGCUCCCAUGCCAAGUAUGACAUCUAUGUUGGAGAAAACCUCGAUGUUUUGUAGUCUUAGUUGGUGUAUUUGACAUUUCCCAUGUCAAUUAUGACACCUAAAAAUUGUCAAAUGUAAAUUUGAAGACUUAUAUGGCAAUGUCAAAUUUCAUUUUGCUCAAACCCCUAUAUUUUUUUAUAUUCAAUUAAUAUCUGCAGGACCCACUCUUAAAAACAAAUCAAUCUUCAUGACUGGUGCAUUGUUAGGGCCAACACAACAAAACAUUUAAAAAAUAAUAAGACACCAGAUUUUCUCCUAUGUAAAUUAGCAGCAAACAAUUUCUAUGUCAAUGUACAGAUUGACAUAUCGGUUAUUACGUGGCAUUCCACUCAGGCAGUGGAGAGGGCCAAAGGUCUAAAAGUUAAAAAAUGACCUGAUUUGCUCAAAAAUCAAUCUUCAACUGAUGGUUGGGCUAUAAUUGUAUGGGGUUCACAUACCAUUAUUUGGCCAAAUGUAGCUCUCCUCUUAGCCAUGUUUUUGGGGCCCAUCUCCUUAGUUGCAAU
This 560-nucleotide long non-coding RNA is filed under the name Malus domestica (apple). RNAcentral's name for it is "long non-coding RNA (MDOM_LNC010792)". Lineage: Eukaryota; Viridiplantae; Streptophyta; Magnoliopsida; Rosales; Rosaceae. The record is from RNAcentral.